GUCCUUACGGGAAUUAUAAUACUGCCCUUAAUAUAGAAAUGUUACUGAUUUCAUAGAGAGAAUUUGUAAAAAGCAAAUAUGUUCAGCAAAAUAGGAUCUACAAAUGAGUCAAUAAGGCAGAAAUUAUCAUCUGACUUCUUUAAAAAGUUAUUACCCUUGAAAGAUCAUUUUUGUUGAGCCUGCAACUUUUGUCACAGAAAGCUUGACAUAGGGAUAGUGAUCUGGCAGCUACAGCGGGGGCAGUGUUGGCUAACUUCAUGAGAAAUUUGAUUACUAUAUUUUGUAUGUGUGUACUUUGCAAGGUCCUCAUGCCCAUCAGACAUUUUUCACUUGACCUCGACCUCAUUUUAUGGAUCAGUGAACAAGGUUAAGUUUUGGUGGUCAAGUCCAUAUCUCAGAUACUAUAAGCAAUAGGUCUGGUAUAUUUGGUGUAAGAUAUACAUGUCCAAAUGGCAGGUGUCAUCUGACCUUGACCUCAUUGUCAUGGUUCAGUGGCUAAAGUAAGGUUUUUAUACAACCGC
This 521-nucleotide long non-coding RNA is filed under the name Mytilus galloprovincialis (Mediterranean mussel). Lineage: Eukaryota; Metazoa; Mollusca; Bivalvia; Mytilida; Mytilidae. The record is from RNAcentral.